GAAGAGGCGGGUGCCCAGCGCUGCGUGGCUGGGACCGGGAGCCUGAGAAGGCCGGAGGAGGGGUGUUCCCCGCCUGGAAAGGGCGGAAAGAGGCCGGAAUUGGAAAUGGAGCUACAGUUUUGAUAUUUGAAGGAGCGAGCGAGGGAGUGAAAGGGCUCAAGAAUCACUUUGUGAGGUGGGGGAGAGGAGAAGGGCGUGAGGCGUGGGGACACCUUUUAAGCUGGAAUCUCAAAGCACUUUGCAAGGCACGUAACUCUCCAUUUUAUGGAUGAGAAAACUGAGUCAGAGAGAGGUGAAAUGGCGAGGUAAAGGUCAAACGGCAACUCUCCCUUGGCUUAGGCUCUAAGCGGUCAAACCCACCGAAAGGGACUUAGCUGGAAAGCGUCCCCGUGCCAGAAAGUGGAACGGUGCGCUGGGACCCCGAUUCCCGAAAAGGGCACACGGAGCUCGCGGCAGCCGUGCCUGCCCACAGGGCAGAGAAGAGGAAACGGCGGUCGUUAUUUCAGUCUUCUAACUGCCUCCCCUCCCCCACUCCCCCUUAGUUUGUGAUCAGUAAUUUUCCAGCCGGGAAAUGUUUUCGUCUCAUCUUCUCUGCGAACAGCGCUGUUUUUUUUUUUUUUUUUAAACGUGAGUGUGGUGUUCGGUAUCGCUUUCUAAACGUAGGCUUGCGAGGUGUUUUGUUUGGAUUCAGGCGAGCACAGGGCUCCGCCCGCCCUUUCCACCGAGCCCCCUUGUCAGUAAACGCGGCCGGUCCCGUCCGGGUGUCAGCCCAGGAGAGAAAAGAUUCUGUGCCAUUUUUGGAUAUCCUCCCAUUUUGCCAUCCUGCCGUGAGCCAGACGCUGGCCUUGGCAUUGCAGCUGCACCAACCCAGCUCUCCCACAACCUCCUCCAAGAAGUCUUCCCUGAUUCUGGUCAGAGGGAUGAAGUGCUCCAAAGACCCCAAAGUGCUUUUCACCCUCUUACUCAUGGUGUUUAUUUGUGGGCAUGAAUCCUCUCUCUUGCUGAUUUGCAAGCUUCUCUGGGCCAGGAUGGUGUGCAGGCUGUGCAGCACCAAGCAUGUUUCCCCUUCGAUCUUGAGGCCACGUGGAGAUUACAAGUACUGCACAGGGUGAGGAGACCCAGGGCUCGGCAGAGAACUCCAUGUGUAGUCGGCUUGGACACAUCUUGUUCUGGGCUCCAGGUUCUCCAUCUGCACGAUGAAGACUCUGGAUAGAUGCCUUCCGAAGUCCUUCCAGGCAUGACCAUUUUAUAAAUAAAUAGAAGGCACUAAAUCCUUCAGAAAGUAAUUUCUCACAUCUGCCAAGCUGGACUUCCCAGCCUCCAAAAUUCCAGCUCAACAUCCAUAUGUUCAUCGUUGGGUUUAGAGCUUGGGUGCUGGAGUUAGUGGAGACCUGGGUUGAAUCUUGGUCCUUAGUAAUGGCGGCUGCAUGCAAGUUACCUCCUCACUUCCGGGAAACUCCCUUUCCUUGUCUGGACCUUGGGGAUGAUAAUAACGUCAGAUACAUUACAGAGCAUUAUAUGAAAUAAUUUUUAAAGGUCUGCCUAUGAUGGAGUCAAUCAACUACAGCUGUUAUCUCAUUCUCUGAAAAAUAUGAGAAGCAAAGACAAACACUUUUGACUCCACUUCUGACCAAAGCUUUACCUAAACAAAUAAACAAUAAAAGUUGUGUUUAAAAGUGGGGGUGGGUGGGCUUCCCUGGUGGUGC
Molecule: long non-coding RNA, 1706 nt
Organism: Aethalodelphis obliquidens (Pacific white-sided dolphin)
Lineage: Eukaryota; Metazoa; Chordata; Mammalia; Artiodactyla; Delphinidae
Exons: 3
Source: RefSeq, a predicted model, not a curated record